Molecule: long non-coding RNA, 12783 nt
Filed under: Cicer arietinum (chickpea)
Lineage: Eukaryota; Viridiplantae; Streptophyta; Magnoliopsida; Fabales; Fabaceae
Description: long non-coding RNA (CARI_LNC003279)
Source: RNAcentral
GUGUAAGAAUAAUUGAGCGAUUUAUAUAUAUGUUGCGCAAGACUUGAACAAGUGAGCUCCAGCUCCACUGAAAAGGAAGCAAUUAACAAAUCAUGUAUUAGCUAACAGGAAAGCCAAGCCAACCAAUGUCUAAAUCCAAAAUAAUUACAAGAACAUUGUAAUUUAACAAAAUCAUAGUGGCACACAACAAAGUCGGUGCAAUCCAAAUAUGGACGCAAUAAUGAUCUAAAAGUUGUGAUGCCUGAAAGUUUAAAAACUCUUUAGACCGAUUAUGUAUAUCAAUUAAUAUCAAGGAUUACAACACAACGGAGAUAAUCCGAAAUUACCUAACUACCGACUGGCCUAUCAAGCAAAUCUCUAAAAGUAACUACAAAAUCACUUAAAAGUAGUAAAAUAGCAUAGCUUUAAAAAUCAUCCCAAAUUCCAACAUCAAAGUUUUAAAUUAAUGUCUUUGUAACUGCCACCACAAUCGAGGCCAAGUGCAUGUUUAAAUUGACAGUAAAUUUUAAAAGUGACGGUAACACCACAUUGUAAUUUAACAAAAUCAUAGUGGCACACAACAAAGUCGGUGCAAUCCAAAUAUGGACGCAAUAAUGAUCUAAAAGUUGUGAUGCCUGAAAGUUUAAAAACUCUUUAGACCGAUUAUGUAUAUCAAUUAAUAUCAAGGAUUACAACACAACGGAGACACUGCGAAAUUACCUAACUACCGACUGGCCUAUCAAGCAAAUUUAAGCUCCACUGAAUAUCUAUUUACCAAUUUUAUGCUAUUUUACUUUUUUCCCAAUUCCUUAUUGUGUACUUAAGAGAAAAUAAAUUAAAAAUCAGUUAGAAAGUGAGAACAAAAGAAGAGGGUCAAAUAAUUAUUGAACUGAAAUUAAAGCAUUGUAAAUUGAAAUUUUAGAUUAGCACUCAUAUCAGCUCAAAAUUAGAACAAAUUGUAAACCCACAACUUCAUUUAGUAAAUCGCGAAUGAAUGACACUUAACAAGCAAGAGUACCAAAAUAAAAAUUGAAAUCACAAAAUAAAAUGAUUUGGAUAGAGAAUAGAACUUACUUGCUAUUGCAAACCGUGAGAAACGAGAGAGAUGAAACCUCAUUCAACAAAUCGCAAAGUAAUGACACUUAACAAGUAAGAUUACCAAAAUAAAAAUUGAAAUCGCAAACUAAAAUGAUUCGGAAAGAGAAUACAACUUACUUGCUACUGCAAAUCGCGAAGUGAAACGAGAGAGAUGAAACCUCAUUCAACAAAUCGCAAAGUAAUGACACUUAACAAGUAAGAUUACCAAAAUAAAAAUUGAAAUCGCAAACUAAAAUGAUUCGGAAAGAGAAUACAACUUACUUGCUACUGCAAAUCGCGAAGUGAAACGAGAGAGAUGAAUUUAGGGUUGUUUAAAAUAAAAUUUACGGUUUUUGGGGAUUAGGGUUUGUUAAGACAGUAGAGAGAAAAGAGUUUUAGAAAUGCAAAGAAAAAGAAAAGGUUUCUAAGUGUUUUUCGAAGGCGAUGUGUAGUUGCAUUUUCAUUGUACAAGACCAAACGGGCAAAACCUACAUUUUUUAUGCAUUUAUUUUUUUUAUUUAUAAAAGAGUAUAAUAAUUUUAAAAACAGUGACACUCUAAUUGUAGCUAAAAGUAGCAUUAGUGACAGAUAAAAAAUCAUCACAAAAUCUGAGUGGCAGAAUAGAUUUUGUUUUUUUGUAGUGAUCAUGCAAGAAAUAGAUUAACACAUAAAUAAGAUUUAGAUCAAUAUAGUUUAGGGUACGAGCAAGGUCAAAGAUGAAAGAACAUUUGCAUAAAGAAUUAUCAGAGGUUGUGUGAUUGAAUUAAUAUCUAUGUUUCAUCAUACAAAAAAUAUAAUUAAGAGAAAACAUAAAAAACCAAGAGGUUGAAUGAUUGAAUGAUUAAUACCUAUGUUUCAUCAAACAAUAAUCCUAAUCUCAAUUAUCCUAUAUAUCUACCAUUAAAUUGUAGUUGGUCUGAAUUGAUUGAUUAAAGCAUGCAAAGGUAUGUCAUCCUGUAAAUAAAAUAAUAAAAUAAUUUAAUUGAAAUAAACAACAACCACCUUAGGAGAGAGCUUAAUUAUUCAUUGACUUGUCGAAAGUAAUAGAAGUGUUCAUCAAUCAAGGGAAAAUAAACAAAACCCUCAAAGAGUUUGAUUUUUUGCACUAAAAUUUGAGAUGUUUUACUCUAACUCCAAGCACUUUGCAGUUUCCAAAGUGUUUGUCAUUUUUUCUCUCUCUAGUUGCACAAAAUUCCAUAAGUGUACGGACUUGCCAAGUAGUAAUACAUAUUAUUAUCUUAUCCAUAGUGAUUAAUUUAACAACUAUCAAACUAUUCAAGAUUUUAUAUUAUUUAGACUAAUUAAAAUUAUUGUUGAUUCACGAUAAUGAAAUCGCAACGAUAACAUAAAAAUUAUAAUGAGAAUUUUAAAUUAAUGCAAAAUAAACAUAGGGUCAUAGUUUUACUUGUAAUAUCGAUACCUCAAGUUCUAGUUUUAUACGAAUUCUUAUAUAUUUUCUCAAUUAUCAAUUUCUCUUUAAAACUAUUAACAAAGAUCCGUCAUUCAAUGUUAUUAAUAGUUGAGAGUUAGAAGGAAUGUCAAGCAGAGAUCAAUGUCAAACAAAAUUUAAAUCAAUACAGUUUAGUAUACAAGCAAGGUUAAGUAUGUAAAGACAUUUGCAGAUCCUAUAACACCCUAAAUUUUAUAAUAAACUAUUUGAUUAAUUAAAUAGGAUUUUAAAUAAUUAAUUUGAUGUUAAAAUUAUUAUAAAAUAUAUAUUAAUAAAUUUUGUGAUUAACUUUCGUUAUAUGGAUGUUUUCUAUGAUGUGCUAGUUUGAUAUACAUUAUAUUAAAUGAGCGAUAUAAAUAAUAAAAUUUAUUUUAUUAUAUUAUAUAUUUUUUUAAAAGCAAUAGUAUUUUAGUCCAAUAUUUUGAAGAAUAAGCAUUUAUGUGAUUUUACGUGUAUAUUCGCGCACCCAAUUAAUAUAACAUUCUUUUAUGCGUUUGACUAAUAUUAAAUGUGUACUUAAUUAUAUUUAUUUAAUUCAAAAUAUAUUUUAUUUUAAUUAUUUAUUUUAUAAAUUAUUAUCUUGAGAUAGUGAUAAUAUUGUGUUUGAUUUUCUUUAUUUUUAUAUAUUUAUUAUGAUAUUGUGAUUAUAUAUAUAUAUAUAUAUAUAUAUAUAUAGUAUGAUUUAGUAAUUAAUAUAAAGUGUUGAUUUUAUAUUUAUUUAUUUUAUAAUUUUGACUAUUCUCUAAUGAUAUAUUAUUAUAACGUGAGUAUUUUGAAAAAUAAGUAUAAUUAUAGUGAUUAAUUUGAAUAUGAGAGUUUGAGUUGGAAAGGUUAAUUAAUAUGUAUUUUUUUAAAAGGUUAAUUAUUUUAAUUUCUCUAAUUUAUCAAGUAUUAUUUUUGAAAUAUUAGUAAUUAAAUUUUGUUAAGAAAAAUAACUUUGGAAAUUUUUGGUUUUAUUAAAAAAAAAAGAUUAAAUGUGUUUCAUGGGAUAAGCCAAGUAAAACCUAAUUAAAGAAUAAAACCAAACCAAAAAAUAGAGGAAGAGAAAGAUACGACACGACAGCUGCUGCUCCCAAGGGGAAUUGGAACAAAAUUAGAAGAAAAUUGACACCGGUGAUCGACAACUGUUCCAGAAAAGUUUCUCUGUUUUUGUCCAAAUUCAGUAUGUUAUUUUACUCAAUUAACUAGUCAAUUAAACACGAUUUUCCAUAUAUUUAACAACCCCAAUUUCUCUAUAAAAUAUUUUAUUUCUCCGUUUGUAGAAUUCGUUAUUUUGCAUCGUUCUCCUUCACCGUAUGUCCGAUUUGAGUGAAACCAACGCCAAAACGUCAGUGUGAAAAGUGGCUAUAUUAUCCACUGAUUUGUUUUCUGAUUCAUGGUGAUUUUCCUCGACCGAAUUUCGAAUUUAGUUUUUAGAGUAUCUUCUCAUAAUUUACUUUUAAUGUUUACCCAUAAAUUGUCGAGUUAGAUCAAUUGAUGGACAAAAAGUCAAUGAACAAAUGUUGUUUGCUCGUGGAAUCCUAUUCGUGUGUGAAAGCGUCGAAAUAAGGUAAGGGGUGAGAGAGCAUUUGAAUUAAUGAGUAUAAUAUAUUGUGAGCUGAACGGGAAAACCGUAUUUCCCAACGAUUCAUCCGGGGCUCGCUACGUACGGCAAUAUCCCUUUGAGUGAUAAAUUGAUUAAUGUAAAAAUAUGAUAAUUGUGAGAUUAAAAUAUGGAAUAGAAAUAUUUAUAACGUGUUAAUUGAUUUAACUCCGUUGAAUGUGUGGUAUUUGAUUUAUUUUUAUUAAAUGUGAGAUAUUUGCUAUUAUUGUGAUAUUGGAUGUCGCAUGAAUUUUAUGUAUAUGUUUGAUUAGACGUGUCUAUGUGAUGUGAUAAUAAAAAGUAAAUUCAUUUUGAUAAGUUAAUGUAAUUAUGAUGAUGUAUAAUUAAUAAUAAUGAUGUUAUAAAUUUGUGAUAAGUGUAUGUGAUGAUGUAUGGUUAAUGAUAGUGAUGCUAUAAAUUUGUGAUGAGUUAGUGUGAUUGAGAAUAGUCACAAUGACAAAUGAUAUAAAUUGUAAGUAAAGUUAACAUUAUCCUUUUUUUUUUAUCAUUGCCAUGGAAUUGAGAUUUUGCAAUUUAAUACAAAAGUUUAGGAAUUGAUAAAAUUAUACAGUAAUAUAAAAGUUUAUUAGUUUGAUAUAUAUAUAUAUAUAUUUUUAUUAUUAUUACAUUAAUUUUUAUUAUCUAAAAUUUUAUUUUAAAGAAAUUCAACAAAUAUAUGUUAACAGGGAGCUCCUAAUAUGAUCUCCAAUUUAUAGGGUCCACCUGUGUUACUCAAUCGUUACCAACUAUAAUAGUUUUUUCUUUCUUUCUUUUUUUAGAAUUUAAGAAAAAAAUCGGUUAUUUUAACUAGGAGGUAUUAUUAACAUUAUGCCUUUAUAUUUAAUCCAAAAAUCCUAAAAAUAAAAUAAAAAAAUGUUAAAAAAGAAGAAAAAAAAUUAAAAACACCAAGCUGAAUUUCCCUCCUCACCUUCGGUUGAAUUCAGAUAUUUUUUAAUAAUUUAUCUUUAACCAAAGUUUAUUAAUUAUUUGAGCUAUUAUUUGAUUAAGUGUCCAUUCUCUUUUAUACAUUGAACAUUGAUAUAAUUAAAACAAACACCUAUUUUAUUUUUUUUUAAAUUGUAAUAAAUAAAUAAAUUCCCGGUAAGAGUUUAGGAGACAAAUGUCAAAUCUCAUCUCAGAAAGUUGUAAAAUGACGAAUAUUUACACUUUGAUUAAUAAUAAUUUAUCCCUUCUCUUUUUAUUUAAAUAAAUAAAAUUAUAACAACUAAAUUAUAAAGGAUAAAAAGGGAUUUUUUUGUUAAAAUAAUAAAAGUAAAAUUAAUUAAAAAUAAUGAUAAAUUACAAAUUAAAAAGCUAGUUGAGGUAACAUAUUAAAAAAAUGCUUUAAGUUAGUAAAAUAAUUAUAAACUUAUAAUGAUUAACAAAUAAAUAUUUUUUUAAUAUGAUUUAAUAAGUUAACUUAUUUGUCAGCAGACUCUUAACUUUUAUACUUCGGAAAUUUCUAAGAACAGACUUAUAGUAUUUAAAACAAGAGUUGAGAUUAUAAAGAUGGUCCAAAUUUUUUACCCCUUAAAAAUUUGAAACAUAAUUUAUUCACAUUUAAAAAAGAAACAAAAUGUAAAAUUUUAGCAUUAGUCUUAAUGUAAGCUAAACAAACCUUAAAUCUUAAUAAAAACAAAGCGGAGAAGUGUAGGUUUUAAUGUUCUGAAUUUUUUAAAUUAGAAAGUUUCGUUAGUGUUAGUCUUAGUGUAGCUUAAGUAAACGCUGACUCUAAAAUAAAAAUAAAAUAAAAUAAAAAAUUAGAGACGAAAUUUAAUUUUAAAGUUUUCACUUUUUAAAACACUAGAAUACCAGAUUUUUGUAACAUUUUAAAAAGUUUGAAUUUUUUUUCCACAUUUAUAUAAAUGGGGUUAAAAAAUUUGAAUUUUUUUUCCAUAUUUAUAAAAAUGGGGCAGCAGACAUAUAAUUUUGGUUGGUUUUUGGGUAUAUAAUUUUUUUUGAAAUCUCCAAUUUUAAGUAAAUAGAGUCUUAAUAUCUGAAGUUCACAUAAUAGAUAAAUAGAAUUUAACAAAAGAAAUUAUUUUAAUUUUAAAACUCAAAUUUUCAUGAAUAAUUUAUUAUGAAUUGAAAUUAAAUGCAACAGAACUAAAAAAAUAUAAAGAAAUUAAAUGCAACAGAACUAAAAAAAAUUAAAUGCAUGCGAAAAAGAUUUAGUAGUCAACGGUAAAAAAAAAGAUUUGAUUUUUUCGGUUUUGAAGAUUUGAUUUGAUUAUUAACCUUAUAAAAACAGAGCCAACACACUCCAAACAUAUAGUGAAUUGAAUUGAACAUUGUUAUUCUUGUUCCAUUUUCUUUUGUUUGUUCUCCAUACACAUAACACAAUGAGUUCUUUAUCGGUAAUGAAUUUGGAGAAUACUAAACAACCUCGUAAGCGACUUAUAAUCAAGUUUUCUUCUCAAAAGAAUCAUUCUCAAGGAGAUAUUAAGAUGGAACAUUCCAAGCCAAUUGUUACAUGUUUCUGGCUUGACGCUAAAGAUUCAACAGCUAUUAUGUCUCAACAAAACAACAACACAACAACCGAUUCUGUCAAAGAUUCAAAACCCAUCUUGUCUAAAGAAGUUGGUGUGCAAGUAAUGAAGGAUUCUUGUUCCAAGAAGAUUAUCAAUGAAACAAGAAACCCAAGAACCGAAAAUUGUUGCUUGAAGACUGAUGGCGGUGAGAUCAUGAAUGAAAAGAGAAAGAAGCCGAUGCAACAUUACAAGAAGAUGCAAUGUUGGGUGAUUUUGAAGAGGAUUUUGAUUGGAAGAGAUAGCUGGCCUCUAAAAGACCCUAUUGAUCUCAAGUUCUUGAAGGCUUUUCAUGACAAGGAUAAUUUAGAGAACAAGUCUAAAUUGAAGACUAUGGGUUUGAAGAAUAUUGAAUCUAAAUUGCAAUUCUAUUCAACACCCGAUGAAUUUGCUACUGACAUCAGAUUUGUAUUCUCUCAAAGAAUGUUAUUAUAUCCUCCUAGAAAUGAGGUUCAUAAAAUUGCGUUAAAGUUUAGUGAAUAUUUUGAAAACAAAUGGAAGUCUCUCAAAAAAGAUUGGGACCUUGAGGAAAGAAAAAUAAACAAGAGAAAAAGGGAUGAACAUGCUCAUGAGAUGAAAGACUUCUUCCAAACCAAAAGGUCAAGAUAAGAUAUGCAAGACAACAACCCGUUUCUUUUGCAUGUUGCCAUCGUCACUUUAGUAUUAACACUGCUAUGUAUAUACUAGAUAUUUUGUCAAUUUUCACAACAUAUUGUUAUUGUUCUUAUUCUUGUAUUUGUGUCCAAUUGGCAAUACAAAACAUAUUGUUCUUAUUCUUGUAUUUCUGUCUAAUUGGCAAUACAAAACAUGAUUUUGCUACUUUUCUCUCUUUAUUACAUGUGUGUUUAAAGUUUAAUAUCAAUUACAAUUGUGUUUAAUGUUAAAUCUUAUUUUUUUUUUAAACUUUUCGUUAGAAUGAUCUAACUUUGUUACAAAAUUUAAAAUAGUUAGAAGUAACUUAAAUUCAAUUUUUUUUUCUAAGUAUGUUGACUAUCGAUAACCUGUUGCUUAUUUUUUAAAGAUAAUAUUGAUGGUUUAAAAAUAACAUAAUUAAUGAAAUAAAUAACAUUUUUCAUUUAUUUAUUUUAUAUUUUAUAUUAAAUUUAUUUGUUAUACAUUGUCUUAGUAAAAAAUAAUUUCGUGCAGAGCCAAUUUAGAAAAUUUUACAUUAUCAUCACAUCACAAUAUUUAUAGACAUGAUUUUAGAGCUAGUUAUGAAAAAAAUCAAACACAUCUAAUAAAUGUGAUUGACAGAUAACGUAACAACUUUGUACACUAAAUAUGUAUAUAAUUAAAUCCUAGAUUCUCGUUAUUUUUUGUUGAAAUUAUUAAAAAUAAAUAUUUUUUUAUGGGAAUAUUAUUUUGAUAUUGAAACAUAAUUUAAGAACCAAUUCAAAUGCAGUAAUCUUUUCAGAGAAACAUUCACUAAUUUAAAGACUAAGUCAAAUACAAGCGAGCUUCUUUACAUAACAUUAUCUAGUUGAAGAGUUUUACUAUUUUUUUUUUCUUUCUUACAUUAACAAUUAUUUUUACAAAUAAAAUGGUUAUUGCCAGCUUUUAUAGUUUAAGAAAGAUCAUUUCAUACCAAAAAAUAUCAUUUCAUUGUUUAUAACCAUUAUAAAAAAAAUUUAUAUUCGAUCGUAAUAAAUAUUCAACAUUUGACAAUUAUGAGCAAUAAAAAAUCUAAAAAAAAAAUAUAUUUUAUUGACAUUAAUAGAAAAUACUCAAUUAUUUCAAUAUUUAAACGAUAAAAUAUAAUUUUUUUUUAAAAAUUCAUUUUAUUUAAAAACCAAAUGUACCCACCCGUACAUGUCAAAUUGACAAUCGGAUCUACUGUCAACUUAAAAGAGGCGUUUAACUAUGCCUUUGGAACUAUCACUAAAUGUUUUCGAUUUGUAUCUAGAAUAAUGACUGUCACUAAAAACUAAAUAAAUAUAAAUAAAUAUAAAUAAAGAAUUGAUAUAUUUCUACGGUAUUGUCUUUCACUAAAAACUAGAUAAAUAUAAAUAAAAAACCUAUCUAUUUCUAUGGUAUUAUCUGUCACUAAAAACUAAAUAAAUAUAAUAAAGAAUUGAUCUAUUCCUACAAUAUUUGAGGCGUGAUUGUGAAAAAUAAAAGAACAAUAAUAUCCUCGAUAUUUUAUCUAACUACAAAAAAAUAUAUCUCACCCUUAAACUUUUUUCUAGUUAGAGGCCCCACAUGAGUUCCUCCACUCGUUUUUCAAGUUUAUCAUUCCCUUCUUUAUGUGCGUCAAUUUUUCUUACAGCCUAAAGCAAAUGGAAACAGAUAUCAACUGAGAGUAGAGAGAAACACAAAAAUCAUAAAUAAAUAAAAAAUGAGACUGCUUAAAUAUUAAUUGAUGAGUCAUAUAGAAGCAACUUAAUUUUUAUAUAUGAGGUUCCUAAGUUUGGAACUUUCUAUUUUCAGGUUCCUAAGUUCUUUUCUGGCUACACACCAUCUCUAUCGGCAUUGUGUUAGAAUUGAACCUUUCUUCAGCCUCUUAUAAUAUGAGGAAGACUUGUAGCAUUGCUAGCGAGCUUGAAAUUUUUGAGAGAGAAUUUAAACAUUGAAUGCAUAUGUCCUUAACAAAUGGUCAUAAUCCUACAAGAGUCAACUAUAACCUAAAUUGUGAUGAAGCUUUAGUCCGUUUCCUAAAAUUGAACUCUUUAUGGGCAGCGAUUGCCCUCAAAGCUGUUUGAAAAAAGUUAAAGAAGAAACUGUUGACCACAGUAACGAUCAUUAACAUUUUAAGAAACUAUGAAUUGUGGCUUCCUUCCUAUGUUUCUGCAAUAAAACUUCCCUACUGGACAAGCUAUAGACAUUGAACUUCAUUGAUUCAAACAUCUAUUUAAUACUAUUUAUUAUUGAGUAGAUUCAAUCUGAAAAUUUUCAUAAAAUUUAAAAAAUAUUUGAUACUACAAUAUGAUAGCAUACAUAGCAGGUUCAUCAGUGCCAUCAGGGCAAUCACAGAAAUUAUCGUUAAGACGGUCAAUGGAGAAGGCUUUUGAUCCAUCCUUACAUUUGAUGAGGUGAGAGGUAUAAUAUUAAUACAGUGGGUAGAACUAGGGAAGUAAACAAAUAAAUAUUAAUAAGAGAUGGGGGUAUACAAUGUGCAGGGUAAAUGAAUAUGCAAUUGCAAGCAAUGGACCAAUUUUAGGGACUUACAUAUAGAAAAUACGUCAAACAUACCUUAAGUUAAAUGCAAUACUUAAUUCAUAAAUUCUAAUAAUCUUGAAAUUCUAACAGUAUUAAACAUAUGAUCCUUUACAUACUUGUUCCAUAUCAAAUUCUUCAAAUGUAGGAAUUCUAAUUUCCUGAACAGCCACCAGAAAGUUUCUAACGUUUUCAAAAUACUGAAAUGCUGAUAAUGACUCUCCAACCUAUAAAGAAUAAUACAUAAUUUACAUAACUAAACAAAUAAUAACCAAAAACAUAGAGUAAAUAAAAUAAGGAACAUCCAAACUGACAUUGAAUACAUCACCUAGUUGAACUUUGUUAAGAACAUUACAAAGAAUGAUCCCACUCCUCAAACAAAGCCUAAACUCUUCCUUAUAAGUCUCUACGGGUAAAUGUUUAGCUGCAACAACUCCAACCAUUUUUCUCAACCACCAUGCUGCUUCAUAUCUUCUAAAUGUUUCAUUUUAUAGAAUUUAUUUUUCAGUCUCAAAAUAGCUGAUACAAAUUCCAAAUAUCUUUUUAAUAUAAUAUUGACAAAUAUCAACCUUCAUUAAAAUCAAUAUCAUAUAGAAAAGGAUGAUAAUUUGAGACAUUAAUGAAAAAAAACUGAAAACUGAUUAUUCCUAGGAAAUUACCAGCUUAUUCCACUUUUCUAGAUUCCAAAUCAAGAUAUUUGAGGCGAGUACCGUGUUGUUGAAGCACAUCUUCAACCACAGAAGCAACUGAAAACGACAAUGUUACCAAUUCAAGAAAGAAGCAUAUUGAUUCUAUAAUCUAUAACAUUUCCCAUUUUCUCUGUACAAACUGGUACUCCAACUCCACUAACACAACUACCUCUUUCUAUCUCUAUCUAUCUGCUUUACAGUAUACAAUACUCCCCAUUACUCUUCCUUGCUUUGGUUCUCUCCUUACGUCAUGCUUCGACUCCAAACCUCAUUAGCAAUCUAACCUUUCAGAUCCUAUGGAGUCUGAACAGAGACAUCACUCCACAUCUUAUAUUUAUGAACUCUUGUGCUGAUAAAUAGGCCAACAUCGAUAAAGGUGGCCCCAUCACUAUUUGAUUCCUUAGAAAAGGCAUGCGACCUGUCUGCCGCAUUGGGGGUGUAGUUCUCUCAAAUAAUCAAUAAUCUAUGUUAGGAUAACUGUAGCCUGCCAUGAUCAUAAACCCCCCAUCAUCAUCUGUAAGCCCUCCUUCAAAUACAAGAUUCCCAAUAUGUUCCUCCAUGAACACAAACUUGAGCUGCAAGGACUCUUAAAGCAUUAGCUUCUCCUUGCUUGAAUAGACAACAAACAGUUUCAACUAUAAUUUAGGGAGCCCGAAAACUGGCGACCGUGCAUAGUUCAAUUAGAAAGAAAUAUAAAUUUUUUUAUAGUAUAUCAUCCUCCAACCUUUAAACAACAGGUAUUCAUGAGAAACAACAGUGUUUUCCCUAAGAAUAAGAGAGCCUAGUCUACCACCCAAAACUGAAUUCCCAACCAAACAACUCCCUCUUAUUUAUAACAACUAUUCUAUCAUGCGUAUUGUAACAAGGCCUUUCAACUUGAUUCCUUGGCCCAUCUUGAUGUAAUCUGCCUUAGAACAAUAAGUAGGUGAAUUGGAGAAUUGGUUACAAUAUGCUUAUGUGGAAAAUCCGUUAGAAGAGACAUUAAUGAGCCAAACCCAAUACCUAACAUAAUCUCUCCUAAUUAAGGCCUGAUCCUAAUUCCUAACAUACCCACAAACCAAAUAGGGUGGAAUUCAAACUUUACUUCUUAAUUUGUCCAAAACUUAUUCUUUAGAAAUGUAANNNNNNNNNNNNNNNNNNNNNNNNNNNNNNNNNNNNNNNNNNNNNNNNNNNNNNNNNNNNNNNNNNNNNNNNNNNNNNNNNNNNNNNNNNNNNNNNNNNNNNNNNNNNNNNNNNNNNNNNNNNNNNNNNNNNNNNNNNNNNNNNNNNNNNNNNNNNNNNNNNNNNNNNNNNNNNNNNNNNNNNNNNNNNNNNNNNNNNNNNNNNNNNNNNNNNNNNNNNNNNNNNNNNNNNNNNNNNNNNNNNNNNNNNNNNNNNNNNNNNNNNNNNNNNNNNNNNNNNNNNNNNNNNNNNNNNNNNNNNNNNNNNNNNNNNNNNNNNNNNNNNNNNNNNNNNNNNNNNNNNNNNNNNNNNNNNNNNNNNNNNNNNNNNNNNNNNNNNNNNNNNNNNNNNNNNNNNNNNNNNNNNNNNNNNNNNNNNNNNNNNNNGGAGACACUGCGAAAUUACCUAACUACCGACUGGCCUAUCAAGCAAAUUUAAGCUCCACUGAAUAUCUAUUUACCAAUUUUAUGCUAUUUUACUUUUUUCCCAAUUCCUUAUUGUGUACUUAAGAGAAAAUAAAUUAAAAAUCAGUUAGAAAGUGAGAACAAAAGAAGAGGGUCAAAUAAUUAUUGAACUGAAAUUAAAGCAUUGUAAAUUGAAAUUUUAGAUUAGCACUCAUAUCAGCUCAAAAUUAGAACAAAUCGUAAACCCAUAACUUCAUUCAGUACAUUGCGAAUGAAUGACACUUAAUAAGCAAGAGUACCAAAAUAAAAAUUGAAAUCACAAAAUAAAAUGAUUUGGAAAGAGAAUAGAACUUACUUGCUAUUGCAAAACGUGAGAAACGACAGAGAUGAAACCUCAUUCAGCAAAUCGCAAAGUAAUGACACUUAACAAGUAAGAUUACCAAAAUAAAAAUUGAAAUCGCAAACUAAAAUGAUUCGGAAAGAGAAUACAACUUACUUGCUUCUGCAAAUCGCGAAGUGAAACGAGAAAGAUGAAUUUAGGGUUGUUUAAAAUAAAAUUUAGGGUUUUUGGGGAUUAGGGUUUGUUAAGACAGUAGAGAGAAAAGGGUUUUAGAAAUGCAAAGAAAAAGAAAAGGUUUCUAAGUGUUUUUCGAAGGCGAUGUGUAGUUGCAUUUUCAUGGUACAAGACCAAACGGGCAAAACCUACAUUUUUAUGCAUUUAUUUUUUUAUUUAUAAAAGAGUAUAAUAAUUUUAAAAACA